Long non-coding RNA from Oncorhynchus tshawytscha (Chinook salmon), 1653 nucleotides. NCBI's taxonomy places the organism in Eukaryota, Metazoa, Chordata, Actinopteri, Salmoniformes, Salmonidae. The record is from Ensembl.
UAGCUGCAAUCAGGUCAGUGCAGAGAGACAAGCUAGCUGCAAUCAGGUCAGUGCAGAGAGACAAGCUAGCUGCAAUCAGGUCAGUGCAGAGAGACAAGCUAGCUGCAAUCAGGUCAGUGUGGGACAAGUGGGUGGACCGCCUUCCCCCGUUUCACAACCCUAGGCCCAGCGUUACUGUUGAUGAGCAGCUUAUGCCAUUUAGGGGCUGCUGCCCAUUCAGACAGUACAUACCGUCUAAACCUGCAAAAUAUGGAAACUAGAUCUGGGCUGCUGUGAUGCUGCGUCAUCAUAUGUGUGAAAGUUGCAAGUGUAUACAGAGAAGCCAGAUGGAGGAGCCCUGAGAAGAACCAAGGGAUGGAGGAGCCCUGAGAAGAACCAAGGGAUGGAGGAGCCCUGAGAAGAACCAAGGGAUGGAGAAGCCCUGAGAAGAACCAAGGGAUGGAGGAGCCCUGAGAAGAACCAAGGGAUGGAGGAGCCCUGAGAAGAACCAAGGGAUGGAGGAGCCCUGAGAAGAACCAAGGGAUGGAGGAGCCCUGAGAAGAACCAAGGGAUGGAGAAGCCCUGAGAAGAACCAUGGGAUGGAGGAGCCCUGAGAAGAACCAAGAGAUGGAGGAGCCCUGAGAAGAACCAAGGGAUGGAGAAGCCCUGAGAAGAAACAUGGGAUGGAGGAGCCCUGAGAAGAACCAAGGGAUGGAGAAGCCCUGAGAAGAACCAUGGGAUGGAGGAGUCCUGAGAAGAACCAAGAGAUGGAGGAGCCCUGAGAAGAACCAAGGGAUGGAGAAGCCCUGAGAAGAACCAAGGGAUGGAGGAGCCCUGAGAAGAACCAAGGGAUGGAGAAGCCCUGAGAAGAACCAUGGGAUGGAGGAGCCCUGAGAAGAACCAAGGGAAGAAGGAGCCCUGAGAAGAACCAAGGGAUGGAGGAGCCCUGAGAAGAACCAAGGGAUGGAGGAGCCCUGAGAAGAACCAAGGGGUAGGGGAGACCUGAGAAGAACCAAGGGAAGGAGGAGCCCUGAGAAGAACCAAGGGAUGGAGGAGCCCUGAGAAGAACCAAGGGAUGCGGGAUGUCCUGGACAUGACACAGGGACUCCGUGGCCACAUCACAUGCAAAAACUUUGAGUACGCUGCAUAGGGAUGGGAGAAUCUGUGGCCAAGAACAUCAAAAAACAAAUCAUAAUGGAUUACAAUGCCACAAAAGGAGGGGUGGACAAUUUAGACAAGCUGGUGACUGGCUACAGUUGCUAAGUAAGAACCCUGCUGGCCACUUGUGAUAUUUUCCAACACAUUGGACAUCUCAAUAUACACCUUGUUUGUCAUCUGGAUGGCUUUGUACCCAGAUUGGAACAGAGGGAAGCUCCAGAGGAGAUGACUCUUUCGCGGGAAGCUUGGCAAGGCAUUGGUAAGACCUCAAAUCCAGAGGAGUCAACAUAUCCCAAGGACCCCAGCUUCUGCAGCCAUCGUGAGGAGGAUUCAGGAGGAGGAUGCUGGUGCCCCAUCCGCCCGACCCACAGAACCACCAACUCCAAUACCAGAAAUUGCAGCCGGGAGCAACAAGAGGAAGUGAUGCGAUGUGUGUGGACCCAAGAAGGACAGGAAGACACAGAACACAUAAAGUGCAAGAAAUACAUUUGCACCACACACAGUAAAACUCUGUCC